RNAcentral lists this ribosomal RNA (253 nucleotides) under uncultured bacterium. Its description in RNAcentral is "partial 16S ribosomal RNA". It matches the Rfam family "Bacterial small subunit ribosomal RNA", at positions 524 to 776 of the family's 1533-position model. The record is from RNAcentral.
UACAGAGGGUGCAAGCGUUGUUCGGAAUUAUUGGGCGUAAAGCGCGUGUAGGCGGCAGUGCAAGUCGGGUGUGAAAGCCCUCAGCUCAACUGAGGAAGUGCGCCCGAAACUGCAUUGCUUGAGUACCGGAGAGGAUGGCGGAAUUCCCGAAGUAGAGGUGAAAUUCGUAGAUAUCUGGAGGAACACCGGUGGCGAAGGCGGCAUCCUGGACCGGCAUUGACGCUGAGGCGCGAAAGCCAGGGGAGCAAUCGGG